AAGAGUAAAGUACUUCCGCUUCCUUAGGUGGAGCUGGAAAGGUGGAGGCGGAAGUGACUGAUCAAUUCAGGGGCGUGGGGUUCGUUUAGGUUUUGCCCUGUGUAUGACCUCGUUUGGAGCCAUGAAACCAGGUGGCUUUUCUACAAUAUAAAGAUGGAAAUGGGAUGAUGUUCAUUGCAAAUUAGGAUAAAUAUCAAGCAGUGCAAUUCCUGGAUUUAUGAUGUCUGAGGAAUAGUCUUAGUGGAUUAUCCCAAACUUGACACAUUUUUUGCAAAAUGCUAUACAAAAAGAAGAUACAUGCGAUUAUGACAAGAUUCUCCACUUGGUGUGACCAGUCUCAUACAACCCAAGGCUGUGUGUCCAAAGGCAACUGCACUGCACAUGACAGAAUUGCUCUGUUGAAGUUUUGCAAGGUCAAAUGACUCACUUUGUCUAAUGGAAUGGGAACGAACAAUUUUUUUGUGUCACGUUUGAACAGAUACCUUUGAGAAGUUUAUGAUUCUCCAAGUUCUCUUUCUCCUACUGUGGCACCUACUGACAAGAUAAAU
This 548-nucleotide long non-coding RNA is filed under the name Pan troglodytes (chimpanzee). Its description in RNAcentral is "lincRNA". Lineage: Eukaryota; Metazoa; Chordata; Mammalia; Primates; Hominidae. The record is from RNAcentral.